GUUUUUUCUUUUUUUUUCUUUUUUCUUUUUCUUUUUCUUUUUUUUUUUGGCCCUACUAGUUUCCUUUUCUACUAUAGGUUCCAGUAUAUAUGUGUAUGUGAAUACACACUCACACACAUUCACAUACAUACAACUCUCACAAACAUACACAAAAAUACAUGUAUAAUUUGUAUAAGAGCUGGGGUCAGAAUGACCAUAUAAUUAUAUUGGUUUGCUUUGUUAUUUGCCCGUUCUCAAGUCAUUCUAAUUCUUGUUUCAGAAUAUGAUAGAGCUUAUUCCAGUUUGGAAUCUGCAGAUCCCUUCCACUUAGUACUGUUAAUGAAAACAGAACCCUUUUAACAAGUAAUACUACCAUGCUACUUUGGAAACUGCCUAGUACCCAAAAUAUUUGAUAUGCUUUUUGAGUUGGAUACUUAAAUGCACCAACCAAAGCAAUGUUUUGAUUGGCUAUAAUUUGUAUUUUUGAAACCAUUUACAACAAACAUUCUCAAGAAGAGUUUGUAUGUCAAAAGUCAUUUAGGUUUUAAAGUCUUUUGAUCUUUUCUUACUAUAUACAAUCAGUCUGCAGAGACUGUUAUGUGUCUGUUUGCCUUUGUACAUAUAUAUAGCUUGUUUGAAUAAUCAUUGUGCAUCUCCAUUAAUGUUGUUCUUUGCUUUGUAUAUAAAUUAAAAGAGUUGACCCAGGUGUUGUUA
This 693-nucleotide long non-coding RNA is filed under the name Homo sapiens (human). RNAcentral describes it as "novel transcript, antisense to NECAB1". Lineage: Eukaryota; Metazoa; Chordata; Mammalia; Primates; Hominidae. The record is from RNAcentral.